RNAcentral lists this ribosomal RNA (492 nucleotides) under uncultured bacterium. RNAcentral describes it as "partial 16S ribosomal RNA". It matches the Rfam family "Bacterial small subunit ribosomal RNA", at positions 29 to 507 of the family's 1533-position model. The record is from RNAcentral.
AGUGAACGCUGGCGGUAGGCCUAACACAUGCAAGUCGAACGGCAGCACAGUAAGAGCUUGCUCUUACGGGUGGCGAGUGGCGGACGGGUGAGGAAUACAUCGGAAUCUACUUUUUCGUGGGGGAUAACGUAGGGAAACUUACGCUAAUACCGCAUACGACCUACGGGUGAAAGCAGUGGAUCUUCGGACCUUGCGCGAUUGAAUUAGCCGAUGUCGGAUUAGCUAGUUGGCGGGGUAAAGGCCCACCAAGGCGACGAUCCGUAGCUGGUCUGAGAGGAUGAUCAGCCACACUGGAACUGAGACACGGUCCAGACUCCUACGGGAGGCAGCAGUGGGGAAUAUUGGACAAUGGGCGAAAGCCUGAUCCAGCCAUACCGCGUGGGUGAAGAAGGCCUUCGGGUUGUAAAGCCCUUUUGUUGGGAAAGAAAAGCAGCAGGUUAAUACCCCGCUGUUCUGACGGUACCCAAAGAAUAAGCACCGGCUAACUUCGUG